AUACAAUGUGGUGUCAACUAAUACAUUGACUUUAGCAGUAAUGGUAGAGGACUGCAUGAUGAAAAUUAGAGAAAAAAAUGAGUUCGACAAGAUAUCUUGGAUAUAUAAGACCCUGCUGGACCAGGUUGUUAUCCUAGAAGAUGACCAAAAGUACUCAUAUUUUACUAGAAGCUAGCACUUCGAUCACCUCAGAGAUGUGGUAUGGAAUUAAUUUGUUUGCCAAUUGCCAAAGUUAUUACCAUAAGUUAACAAAGAUGCAAAGCUUAUAUAGAGAAGUGAAAAGGGAAUGCAUGUAAAUUUCAAGAACAUUUCCCCACUCUACAUUCAUUAUCAGAUGACCCAGUUUCCCCUGGGUUACCCAAGACAUAUUGGCAAGAAACAGAAAUUCUCUUUUUAAAUUUAAAAAAGCAGGAAUUUAUCCAAAUUAAGAGUAAGAUGGCUCUCAUGGAUGCCUAUGAUAAAUAACAGCUGUUUAUAAAUUUAUUGAAAAAAUUGUAAAUACAUUUGUAAUUUGUACUUAGAUAAUACAGAUGACUGUACAUUGAUAUGAUAAGGUUGAUUCUUAAAAAAAAUACUGUACAUUGUACAUCUGUUGUAAAUUUUAAAAAGGAAUUACAUGUAACAAUUAUAAAAGAAUUUUUAAGCAGAUAGAUGGUAAAUACUUCAGAUUUUCAGUUACUUCUUUCAUUAUUCAAAAAAAUAUUUCUGUAGAGAAUAGCAGAAUGUUGUAAGUGUUGAAAGUGAAUUCGUAAAUAUUUGAAUUGUAAUUUAUAUUUUUUCCAUGUAUUUGUCAAUUGAGUAGAUCUAUAUUGCCAUUUGCAAAUUACCUGUGUGCAAGUUUUAUUUUUUUUUUCAAAGUUAAACUGUUAUGGUCAAUAUCAAAUUUGGUUGGACAUUUUUGUAACUUCCAAUUGGAAAAGUAUUUUCAUUUGGAAUGUAGGUAAACUUGUUUAUAUAUAUUUGCCAUGAUAGAUAUUGGCAAUUUAAAGCAAUAUGAGCUGCAAUUUUCAUGUUGAAAUUUUUUUUCAAGAAAAUGUUAUUUUGAACUAAAAUGACAAAAAAUAUCAUGGUCUUAAAAUUUCUGUUAGCUCUGUUUUUGUGGGAAAAGCCAUUAAGAAGCCUUAAUUGGAGCAAAAUUAUUGUCAUCCUGUACAAAAAAUUGAUCUGCUAUAUAUAUGUUCCUUAUUAGGGAAAUCUUUCUCCUGACAAAAAUUAAUGUUUUUUUUCAAUUUUAUCAUAAAAGUUUAAGUUACAGGCAGACUUAUCAUACUAGCAGGUUUUUGCAGCAAAAUAAAUUUCUAAAAAAUACAGCCCAUAUUGCUUUAAAUGCAAGUGUAUGAUUUUGGAAAUUUUAUAAAUCUUAUAUGUUUGUUUUCUUUCAAUUAAAAGUCCUAUAGCUUACACAAAUUAAUGAAAUGUUGUUUUCUUUUAAGAAUUAGAUUACUUAUUGAAAUGCUUUGUUUUAUAUAACAUUUACAAAUUUGGGUAAACUAGGUAUUAAAUGAAUUUUUUUUUUCCUCAAAAGUUGCCUGAAUGUCAGAUAGAAAUUUGAUCUGUAAUCAACUGGAUUUGUAAGUGAAUAUAUGCUAUGGUUAUUUAGAAAAAUAUCUUCAGUCUAGGUAGUAGGUACUGAUACUUUAUAUGGCAUUGGUCAUGAAAUGACAAAGAAACAAUAUUAUUUUUAAAUGUGCCAAAACCUGCCUGCCUUUUUGGCUUUUUUCAAUAGGUACACAGUUGGAUUAAAAAAAAGAUAAAUGAAAAGAAUUUUCUAUCAAGUAAGGAACUAUGCCAUGGCCUUGAUAAGUCAAUAUGAACUUUAACAAAAAGUAAAAAUUUUAUUUUCUUGUUCCAUAGAUAUA
Long non-coding RNA from Magallana angulata, 1859 nucleotides. RefSeq lists it as uncharacterized. The transcript is spliced from 4 exons. The record is from RefSeq and is a predicted model, not a curated record. Lineage: Eukaryota; Metazoa; Mollusca; Bivalvia; Ostreida; Ostreidae.